RNAcentral lists this ribosomal RNA (1788 nucleotides) under Gambierdiscus pacificus. RNAcentral's name for it is "SSU rRNA". It matches the Rfam family "Eukaryotic small subunit ribosomal RNA". Lineage: Eukaryota; Dinophyceae; Gonyaulacales; Pyrocystaceae. The record is from RNAcentral.
UCCUGCCAGUAGUCAUAUGCUUGUCUCAAAGAUUAAGCCAUGCAUGUCUCAGCUUAAGCUUUCUUACAACAGUGCUGUGCAUGGCUCAUUAUAACAGCUACAAUUAAGUGGAUGGUUGCUAUACAUGGACAUCUGUGGCAAUUCUGUGGCUAAUACAUGCUCAUUGGCUCAGUCAGCAUGGGUUGUGGUCAUUUUUCUCAGAAUCAAUGCAGGUGAUUCCUGCGUGCAACUCCAAGAAGAGUGACAGAAUGGAUUGCGAAGUUUUCACUGGUGCUGUGCCUUGAAAGUUUCUGACCUAUCAGCUGUCGACGGCAGGGUAGUGGCCUGCUGUGGCUGUGACAGGUGACGGAGGAUGAGGGUUUGACUCCGGAGAGGGAGCCUGAGAGAUGGCUACCACAUCUAAGGAAGGCAGCAGGCGCGCAAAUUGCCCAAUCCCAACAGAGGGAGGUAGUGACAAGAAAUAGCAAUGCAAGGCAUCCAUGUUUUGUACUUGGAAUGAAUGGCUGGCAAACUUUGUCUUUAGGAUCAAUUGGAGGGCAUGUCUGGUGCCAGCAGCCGCGGUAAUUCCAGCUCCAAUGGUAUAUAUUAGAGUUGUUGCGGUUAAAAGGCUCGUAGUUGGAUCUCUGCUGGGGAUGCCUGGUCCGCCCUUUGGGUGAGUAUCUGGCGCAAUCCAAGCAUUUUGUCCCAGGGGGGUGACUGCACUUGACUGUGUGGUGCACUCCUUGGGAGCAUUUACUUUGAGGAAAGAAGGGUGUUCAAAGCAGGUGUUUGCCUUGGAUGCAGAAGCAUGGAAUGAUGUUUUGAGUUUUGGCCUCAUUUUGUUGGUUUCUGAAGUGAAGACAGUGUCCAAAGGGGAUGGUUGGGGGCAUUCAUAUUUGACUGUCAGAGGUGAAAUUCUUGAAUUUGUCAAGGAUGAACUAGGGCGAAGGCAUUUGCCAAGGAUGUCUUCAUUGAUCAAGAACGAAAGUUAGGGGAUCGAAGACGAUUAGAUACCGUCAUAGUCUUAACCAUAAACAAUGCCAACUAGAGAUUGGGGGUCGUUACCUGUAGGAUUCUGUCAGCACCUUUGCAAGAAAUUGAAGUCUUUGGGUUCCGGGGGGAGUAUGGUCGCAAGGCUGAAAUUUAAAGGAAUUGACGGAAGGGCACCACCAGGAGUGGAGCCUGCGGCUUAAUUUGACUCAACACGGGGAAACUUACCAGGUCCUGGCACAAGUGGGAUUGACAGAUUGACAGCUUUUUCUUGAUUCUGUGGGUGGUGGUGCAUGGCCGUUCUUAGUUGGUGGAGUGAUUUGUCUGGUUAAUUCCGUUAACGAACGAGACCUUGACCUGCUAAAUAGUAACAUGUAAUUGCGAGUAUGUGGACAACUUCUUAGAGGGACUUUGUGUGUCUAGCACAAGGAAGUGUGAGGCAAUAACAGGUCUGUGAUGCCCUUUGAUGUUCUGGGCUGCACGCGUGCUACACUGAUGCACUGACUGAGCACCUAAUCUUGCCUGAAGUGGCUGGGCAAUCUUUGAAAUCUGCACCGUGAUGGGGAUGGAUCAUUGCAAUUAUUGCUUCUCAACGAGGAAUUCCUAGUAACUGCGAGUCAUCAACUUGCACUGAUUAUGUCCCUGCCCUUUGUACACACCGCCCGUCGCUCCUACCGAUUGAGUGGUCCGGUGAACAGUUUGGCCCCGUUGUAGCAUUCAGUUCCUGAGACGAUCUUCAAGAAAUUCAGUGAACCUUAUCACUUAGAGGAAGGAGAAGUCGUAACAAGGUUUCUGUAGGUGAACCUGCGGAAGGAUCAA